This 628-nucleotide ribosomal RNA is filed under the name uncultured Bacteroidales bacterium. Its description in RNAcentral is "bacterial SSU rRNA". It matches the Rfam family "Bacterial small subunit ribosomal RNA", at positions 66 to 684 of the family's 1533-position model. The record is from RNAcentral. Lineage: Bacteria; Pseudomonadati; Bacteroidota; Bacteroidia; Bacteroidales.
GGGGCAGCAUGAACUUAGCUUGCUAAGUUUGAUGGCGACCGGCGCACGGGUGAGUAACACGUAUCCAACCUGCCGAUGACUCGGGGAUAGCCUUUCGAAAGAAAGAUUAAUACCCGAUGGCAUAGUUCUUCCGCAUGGUAGAACUAUUAAAGAAUUUCGGUCAUCGAUGGGGAUGCGUUCCAUUAGGUUGUUGGCGGGGUAACGGCCCACCAAGCCUUCGAUGGAUAGGGGUUCUGAGAGGAAGGUCCCCCACAUUGGAACUGAGACACGGUCCAAACUCCUACGGGAGGCAGCAGUGAGGAAUAUUGGUCAAUGGACGAGAGUCUGAACCGGCCAAGUAGCGUGAAGGAUGACUGCCCUAUGGGUUGUAAACUUCUUUUAUACGGGAAUAAAGUGAGGCACGUGUGCCUUUUUGUAUGUACCGUAUGAAUAAGGAUCGGCUAACUCCGUGCCAGCAGCCGCGGUAAUACGGAGGAUCCGAGCGUUAUCCGGAUUUAUUGGGUUUAAAGGGAGCGUAGGCGGACGCUUAAGUCAGUUGUGAAAGUUUGCGGCUCAACCGUAAAAUUGCAGUUGAUACUGGGUGUCUUGAGUACAGUAGAGGCAGGCGGAAUUCGUGGUGUAGCGGUGA